Molecule: ribosomal RNA, 844 nt
Filed under: uncultured cyanobacterium
Lineage: Bacteria; Bacillati; Cyanobacteriota
Description: bacterial SSU rRNA
Rfam family: Bacterial small subunit ribosomal RNA
Source: RNAcentral
UACCUAGUGGCGGACGGGUGAGUAACGCGUAGGUAACCUGCCCUAUAGUGGGGGAUACCCAGCCGAAAGGUUGGCUAAUACCGCAUAAUCUGGAGAGUUGAAAUACUUUUCAGGAAAGAUUCAUCGCUAUUGGAGGGGCCUGCGUUCGAUUAGCUAGUUGGUGAGGUAAUAGCUCACCAAGGCGACGAUCGAUAGCUGGUCUGAGAGGACGAUCAGCCACACUGGAACUGAGACGCGGUCCAGACUCCUACGGGAGGCAGCAGUGGGGAAUUUUCCGCAAUGGGCGAAAGCCUGACGGAGCAACGCCGCGUGGAUGAUGAAGUCUUUCGGGACGUAAAAUCCUUUCAGCAGGGAAGAAGUCAGUGACGGUACCUGCAGAAGAAGCAUCGGCUAACUACGUGCCAGCAGCCGCGGUAAUACGUAGGAUGCAAGCGUUGUCCGGAAUUAUUGGGCGUAAAGCGAACGUAGGCGGCCUUUUAAGUUUGGUCUUAAAGACCGGGGCUCAACCCCGGGAAUGGAUUGAAUACUGGGAGGCUGGAGGAUGUCAGAGGAAGGUGGAAUUCCGAGUGUAGCGGUGAAAUGCGUAGAUAUUCGGAGGAACACCAGUGGCGAAAGCGACCUUCUGGGGCAUUCCUGACGCUGAGGUUCGAAAGCUCGGGGAGCAAACAGGAUUAGAUACCCUGGUAGUCCGAGCCGUAAACGAUGGAUACUAGGUGUAGAGGGUAUCGACCCCCUCUGUGCCGUAGCUAACGCGUUAAGUAUCCCGCCUGGGGAGUACGGUCGCAAGACUGAACUCAAAGGAAUUGACGGGGGCCCGCACAAGCGGUGGAGCAUGUGGUUUAAU